Linepithema humile (Argentine ant) is the source of this 657-nucleotide non-coding RNA. The record is from RefSeq and is a predicted model, not a curated record. NCBI's taxonomy places the organism in Eukaryota, Metazoa, Arthropoda, Insecta, Hymenoptera, Formicidae.
UAUCCGCGACCGAGUGUGUCCGCGUAUCUUCUCGAAAGAUAUCCGGAAUUAUCGCAAUCUGGAUAACAUAUUUCUUGGAAAAACUUACGUCGUCUCUCACGAAUGCCUCGUUCAGCACAUAUGUGAGAAAGUAGUGUGUGAAUUGAACCGUUUUGACGCCGUAUGUGACUCUGAAAAGAUAUACGAACAAAAGAUGCUAUGCCUUCGCUUUCGUACACCCGAUAUCUUCGUAUCUCGGCGGCACCGCCUUCUUGUUACUCUAUUCGGUUCGUAUUUCAUCGGGGUUCGCCUGCUCGCGUAGAUAGUCGACAUCGAGGCGGUGCCAAGGUCACGAGGGAGGAGCUGAGGUCAUCGCGGCAUCUAUGUUGUGCGGCGAACUCCUGAACGGUGGCUUCGUCAGUGCCGGAGCGGUACCGGUGGUUCCGUACGGUCUCCUAGGACUCGGGUUGCCCGGUUGUCUGCGCGCUACCAGUCCGCGUCUGUUAACCUCCCCUUACCUCACCCUGCUGGCCGAACUUCUGGCCGCGGGCCGCCUUGAGCUGCGAGACGAUCUCCUGGAGCUGAUGGACCUGGCAAAAAGGAGCCAUCAGGCUCCCGGUAACAACGGAGCGUCCGAGCUCGAUCUUGAUCUCCACGCCGACGACAUCGACGAGAUCU